RNAcentral lists this ribosomal RNA (347 nucleotides) under uncultured bacterium. Its description in RNAcentral is "partial 16S ribosomal RNA". It matches the Rfam family "Bacterial small subunit ribosomal RNA", at positions 338 to 700 of the family's 1533-position model. The record is from RNAcentral.
CCUACGGGAGGCAGCAGUGGGGAAUAUUGGGCAAUGGGCGCAAGCCUGACCCAGCAAUGCCGCGUGAAGGAAGAAGGCUUUCGGGUUGUAAACUUCUUUGACAGGGGAAGAGCAGAAGACGGUACCCGGAAAACAAGCCACGGCUAACUACGUGCCAGCAGCCGCGGUAAUACGUAGGUGGCAAGCGGUGUCCGGAUUUACUGGGUGUAACGGGCGGGUAGCCGGGAAGGGAAGUCAGAUGGGAAAUCCGGCGGCUCAACCUCCGAAUGGCCUUGGAAACUGUUUUUCUUGAGUACUGGAGAGGCAGCCGGCAUUCCUUGUGUAGCGGUGCAAUGCGUAGAUAUCAG